GGACCCGUAGCUCAGCCAGGACAGAGCGUGGGCCUCCGGAGCCCAAGGUCCCGGGUUCGAGUCCCGGCGGGUCCG
RNAcentral lists this transfer RNA (75 nucleotides) under Candidatus Aramenus sulfurataquae. Its description in RNAcentral is "Sulfolobales archaeon AZ1 tRNA". It matches the Rfam family "tRNA". From Rfam's summary of the family: Transfer RNA (tRNA) molecules are approximately 80 nucleotides in length. Their secondary structure includes four short double-helical elements and three loops (D, anti-codon, and T loops). RNAcentral also lists the same sequence under 2 other names. Lineage: Archaea; Thermoproteati; Thermoproteota; Thermoprotei; Sulfolobales; Sulfolobaceae. The record is from Rfam by way of RNAcentral.